This 1604-nucleotide unclassified non-coding RNA is filed under the name Limulus polyphemus (Atlantic horseshoe crab). Its description in RNAcentral is "uncharacterized LOC111085616, transcript variant X5". Lineage: Eukaryota; Metazoa; Arthropoda; Merostomata; Xiphosura; Limulidae. The record is from RNAcentral.
UGUAAAUUGUACUUUUGUGUGCAUAUUAAAACGUAUUUGUGUUAAAAAGAAAACUGUGUAUAUCAACCUUGUGGUCCAUGAUUUUAAUGGUAAGGAAACAGUUUUCAAUAGAUAUAAUUCAUGUUAGGACUUUGGUAAAUUCUUAUUUUCGAAAAAACAUAAGAAUUAUACAGCUAUAGCACAUAAUGUGAAAAAUUUUGAUGGUCACCUUAUACUGAAUUAUCUUAUACAUCAAGGGAUAAAACCAGAGAUUAUUGUAAACGGUGGAAAAAUUAUGAUUAUGACAGUCAAAAGUCUUGGAAUAAAAUUAAUUGACAGUUAUAAUUUUAAACCCAUGUCUAUAUCAUUGUUUCCAAAAAUAUUUGGAUUAUAAGAACUGCAGAAAGGUUAUUUCCCACAUCUUUUCAAUAUUAAGUCCAAUCAAGAAUAUCGAGGACCUAUCCCGGAUGCCAGUUUUUACUCUCCCAACAUCAUGUCAGCAUCCAUAAGACAAAAGUUCCUGGAGUGACACUGUCAGCGACGAGAAGAAGAGUACAUCUUUGAUUUCCAAGAAGAGAUGUACAGAAACUGUCGAUCAGACGUAGAUAUACUACAAUGGCGAUGUCUCCAGUUCAGGGAUAAGUUUCUCUUAAUCUGUGAUGUAGACCCGUUUAGAGAUCACACCAUAGUUCUCUGCAUGGACGUACGAGACUCCUUCUAUGGAGGAAGGGUUAAUGCAACACGACUUUUCUAUGAUGCAAAAGACGUUGAAAAAGUCAAGAAAUUUCAGGAUGGCCCACACACUGUGUUACAUCAGAGGCAAAACAAGGAUAUGUUCAAUGAUAUGCUGAAAAGGAAGGAGUGCAGCCGACCUCUGAAAACAGAAUUGAAUCCAGGCAGAAGAUGGACCUAACGAUCCUCCUUUAGGAGAUUACCUUGGAGAAUUUACAGAUGAGCUGGAUGGACACUGUAUAACAUCGUGGGUCAGUGGUGGUCAAAAAUACUUUCUAUAGCACUUACUCAUCCCAAGAAGAUCUGCAGAAACUUGAAGACUGAGACAAUUUACAACAAAGAAGAAAAGAAUAAUUAUCAUACUGUUUACACUAAACGACACAUCCUUCCAGACUUUGACAACCUUCAAUAUGGAUAUUGAUUUUCGCAUCACAUGGAACUAACUCCUUUCCAUGGUCUAUGAUCCAAAAAGAGGGCAUGUGCAGGGCCUUGAGGGUGGUUCUCAAGUAUGGUCAAACAUGAAUUAUAUAAGACAGUUAGGGUCCCACUUACCAGGCACGCCGCCGGAGGGCCCACAUCCAUGUCGAUCUCAGGCAGUGGGGAUGGGGGGAGAUAGAGACGAUGACGUCAUAAUUCUACGAAUUGUCACCUGUGCAACUGGGGAGGGGUGGAAAUGAUGAUGUCACCAGAGAGGAUGACGUCCAUGAAGUGGCACCAGAGAGCACGUUGUUAGGGAUGCAUUGCUAAAUCGCCAUGACAAAUGGACAUGUCACCAGAGACGAUGACGUCCAAGAAGUGGCACCAGAUGGCGCGUUGCUAGGCCGCCAUGAUAGAUGGACAUAAUGUCAUAGUUCUACGAAGUGGAACCACAAUCAUGAUGAGAUCAUCAUACA